Lonchura striata (white-rumped munia) is the source of this 993-nucleotide non-coding RNA. NCBI's taxonomy places the organism in Eukaryota, Metazoa, Chordata, Aves, Passeriformes, Estrildidae. The record is from RefSeq and is a predicted model, not a curated record.
AACUGUGCCAGCAGAAAAAGUUGCUUUUGUCAUUCCCGUUUCUCCACCUGAGCGUGGGAUUCCUGGAAUCCUGUGAGCUUUUCCUGGAAGAAGUGGUGCAGGCCGGAAUGGCUUGUGCAGAAAGCACUCCAAGGCUGCAGAGAUGUCCAGGAGGCAGCUGGAAUUCAGGGAGAGCUCCUGGAAUUCUCUCUCCUGGAAGGAGCUGCAGCUCCAGACUGAGAAGAUUCUCCUGCGUGGAAGUGUCUCCCACUGUUCAACUGCUGCAGGUUUUUAUUUCUGGAAUUCCCUCUCUUUCUCAUUUGGAAAUUCACCUUUUUAUUGGAAGAAAUCUUUCUUUGGAGAGAGACAAAGGACAGGGUGAGGAAUCCUGAAGGUGUCCCUGUCCUUGCCCAUGCCCAGAGCAUCUCUGUGCACUCAUCCUGCUCACAGCCAGCAUUAUCCUGGCUGGAAAACCUCUGGAAUGCCUCAGGAAAUCCCUGGGAAGGGGGCAGAGGUGAGGAGCUGACACACCAGGGGCUGUCCUGGGAUUGUCCCUCUCUGCUCCAUCCUUCCGUGCUCGGGAUUUUGGGAGCAGCUCCCAAAGGAAUUAAAAGCAGUUUUUUGAGGAAGAAAACUUCCUUCUGGUGUGCUGGGGAUGAAAUAUCAGCUGAGAGGGGGACAGGAAAAAAGGAUGGAGACAAAGCUCUGCUCCACCACCCCCAGAAGAGGGAGAAUUUGAUAAUAAAUCCAUUUUCUUGUUCAAGAUUCUCGUUUUACCCAAGGACAACAAGACCACUUCAAAGAACAGCAUGGAGAACUUGCUGGUGCUUCCUCCACCCCUCUUUUCUUUGUGUUCUUCACAAAUCUCCCCAUUCCACUGCAAAAAAACCCACCUAUCCUGGAGAGGUCGCAUUGUAAUUCAGAAAGGUUUUCUCCCCCAUUUUCCUAUAUAAGAAAAAGCUCUUUUUCUUCACACAAGUGUUAAAUGACUCCUAUUAAAACCAAAUUUAAGUG